CUGCAGCAACCACAUUCACACAGUCACAGCCAAGAUGUCGGCACUUGGGCCAAGUCAUUUGCAAUUGUUAAGCUAAAGCUCCGCAAAAUUGCUUGCACAUAGAAUUAGAAAUAGAAGCAGCAGCAGCAGCAGCGGCAGGGGCAAUAAAUGGCUUUUAGCAAGACCAUUAAUAUUUCUUUAUUUAUUUCGUUUGGUUUUUUUUUCCUUAAUAAUAAUAAUAACUCAAUAAUGUCGAGCGAGAAUUCAAGGUUGCCUGGCCAUAUGAGUGAAAUGAAUACAUAAGACGACGGCAAAGCUGACGAUGUCGAUGUACCAAGUGCCAAAGGCAGCAACUUGCUUGCCAAUCUCUCUUACUCUCAGUUUAUGUUUAAAAAUAAAUGCACAAAGUAAAGAAGAAAUAAGGCAAAAUCAAAGGUGGCAGCCCGCUGCUUCUCGUAAUGUUGGCAACAUGUGACACGUAGAGCAAAACCAAAAUCAUAAAUAAAAUAUAUUUAAGCUUAUUUAAAACAAAUGCUAUGGCAGUGCCUUAAUGUGUAUGGAGAGGGAAGAACGAUUGAGGUAAAAAUACAAAAGGUAAA
This is a long non-coding RNA of Drosophila willistoni, 578 nucleotides long. RefSeq lists it as uncharacterized. Lineage: Eukaryota; Metazoa; Arthropoda; Insecta; Diptera; Drosophilidae. The record is from RefSeq and is a predicted model, not a curated record. The transcript is spliced from 3 exons.